RNAcentral lists this long non-coding RNA (254 nucleotides) under Manihot esculenta (cassava). RNAcentral describes it as "long non-coding RNA (MESC_LNC012590)". The record is from RNAcentral. Lineage: Eukaryota; Viridiplantae; Streptophyta; Magnoliopsida; Malpighiales; Euphorbiaceae.
UCUUGUGGGAAAGAAGGGACCAUUUUCUACAAUAUCCCACAAAUCAACUCCUUCCGAUUUGAGGAAAUAAUACAUUCUAUUUUUCCAAUAUAGAAAGUCAUUUCCAUCAAAGAAAGGUGGUCUCACAACUGAUUGACCUUCUUGAGAAUUAAGGGCUGCCAUUUGAUCUUUACUCCAAGAUAAUUAUAUCUUCAAGAUAGGGAGACUUAGCUCUAAUACCACUUGUUGUCCCUUGAAGCAACCCAAGAGGGGGG